Molecule: ribosomal RNA, 252 nt
Filed under: uncultured bacterium
Lineage: Bacteria
Description: partial 16S ribosomal RNA
Rfam family: Bacterial small subunit ribosomal RNA
Source: RNAcentral
GACAGAGGGUGCAAACGUUGCUCGGAAUUACUGGGCGAAAGGGCUCGUAGGCGGCCAACUAAGUCAGACGUGAAAUCCCUCGGCUUAACCGGGGAACUGCGUCUGAUACUGGAUGGCUUGAAUCCGGGAGAGGGAUGCGGAAUUCCAGGUGUAGCGGUGAAAUGCGUAGAUAUCUGGAGGAACACCGGUGGCGAAGGCGGCAUCCUGGACCGGCAUUGACGCUGAGGAGCGAAAGCCAGGGGAGCAAACGGG